This 359-nucleotide ribosomal RNA is filed under the name uncultured Blautia sp. RNAcentral describes it as "bacterial SSU rRNA". It matches the Rfam family "Bacterial small subunit ribosomal RNA", at positions 1023 to 1381 of the family's 1533-position model. The record is from RNAcentral. Lineage: Bacteria; Bacillati; Bacillota; Clostridia; Lachnospirales; Lachnospiraceae.
ACACGAGUGAGACAGGUGGUGCAUGGUUGUCGUCAGCUCGUGUCGUGAGAUGUUGGGUUAAGUCCCGCAACGAGCGCAACCCCUAUCCUCAGUAGCCAGCAUUUAAGGUGGGCACUCUGGGGAGACUGCCAGGGAUAACCUGGAGGAAGGCGGGGAUGACGUCAAAUCAUCAUGCCCCUUAUGAUUUGGGCUACACACGUGCUACAAUGGCGUAAACAAAGGGAAGCGAACCUGCGAGGGUGGGCAAAUCCCAAAAAUAACGUCCCAGUUCGGACUGUAGUCUGCAACCCGACUACACGAAGCUGGAAUCGCUAGUAAUCGCGGAUCAGAAUGCCGCGGUGAAUACGUUCCCGGGUCUG